RNAcentral lists this ribosomal RNA (207 nucleotides) under uncultured bacterium. RNAcentral's name for it is "partial 16S ribosomal RNA". It matches the Rfam family "Bacterial small subunit ribosomal RNA", at positions 1293 to 1500 of the family's 1533-position model. The record is from RNAcentral.
UCAGAUUGCAGGCUGCAACCCGCCUGCAUGAAGUCGGAAUUGCUAGUAAUCGCGGAUCAGCAUGCCGCGGUGAAUACGUUCCCGGGCCUUGUACACACCGCCCGUCACACCAUGGGAGCCGGUAAUACCCGAAGUCAGUAGUCCAACCUCGUGAGGACGCUGCCGAAGGUAGGAUUGGCGACUGGGGUGAAGUCGUAACAAGGUAAC